ACGAGGUAAAUAAGAUGAAGUUUUCGGAUGGAUUCUUAUUUACCGAGUGGCGGACGGGUGAGUAACGCGUGGGUAACCUGCCUCAUACAGGGGGAUAACGGUUAGAAAUGACUGCUAAUACCGCAUAAGCGCACAGUACCGCAUGGUACGGUGUGAAAAACUCCGGUGGUAUGAGAUGGACCCGCGUCUGAUUAGCUAGUUGGUGAGGUAACGGCCCACCAAGGCGACGAUCAGUAGCCGACCUGAGAGGGUGACCGGCCACAUUGGGACUGAGACACGGCCCAGACUCCUACGGGAGGCAGCAGUGGGGGAUAUUGCACAAUGGAGGAAACUCUGAUGCAGCGACGCCGCGUGAGUGAAGAAGUAUUUCGGUAUGUAAAGCUCUAUCAGCAGGGAAGAAAAUGACGGUACCUGACUAAGAAGCCCCGGCUAACUACGUGCCAGCAGCCGCGGUAAUACGUAGGGGGCAAGCGUUAUCCGGAUUUACUGGGUGUAAAGGGAGCGUAGACGGCGACGCAAGUCUGAAGUGAAAUACCCGGGCUCAACCUGGGAACUGCUUUGGAAACUGUGUUGCUAGAGUGCUGGAGAGGUAAGCGGAAUUCCUAGUGUAGCGGUGAAAUGCGUAGAUAUUAGGAAGAACACCAGUGGCGAA
RNAcentral lists this ribosomal RNA (652 nucleotides) under uncultured bacterium. Its description in RNAcentral is "bacterial SSU rRNA". It matches the Rfam family "Bacterial small subunit ribosomal RNA", at positions 57 to 719 of the family's 1533-position model. The record is from RNAcentral.